AUAUUGAGGUGCUAGAGAUUACACUAAAAUAUGUCCAACAAAAUACCAUAGAGAAAGCUUGCUCAAAAUAAAUAGUAUGACAAAAAAGAGCACUUCGACGCUGGCUGAUUCAUCCCCAGCAUUGCUAGUCGGUAAUGGAUGUCCCCAACGGUGACCGCAUUACAAUAUUGCCUAAUGCAUUCAGAUAUUGCCUGCCCCGUCCCAAAGAGAUUGUGCCUAUAUUAUAUCUAUCUAUAUUUUGCCUGCAUCCUGCUGUGUUGCACUAAUUAUCUCUCAGAGUGUUGCCUACAUCCCUGAAAGUGUUUUGCAUCAUCAUGAACCAAACACUCGCUUACAUCAUCUACUACGAGAGUAUAAAAAUGCCGACAUCACUCGGAAGUGUUGCAUCUACAUCCAUGCAUACUUGCCUACAUCAGCGGGGUGUUGUUGGUUAACUGAAUUUGCCCCUUGCUCGUGAAAAGC
This 462-nucleotide long non-coding RNA is filed under the name Hordeum vulgare. RNAcentral describes it as "long non-coding RNA (HVUL_LNC002961)". The record is from RNAcentral. Lineage: Eukaryota; Viridiplantae; Streptophyta; Magnoliopsida; Poales; Poaceae.